RNAcentral lists this ribosomal RNA (433 nucleotides) under uncultured bacterium. Its description in RNAcentral is "partial 16S ribosomal RNA". It matches the Rfam family "Bacterial small subunit ribosomal RNA", at positions 29 to 507 of the family's 1533-position model. The record is from RNAcentral.
AACGAACGCUGGCGGCAUGCCUAACACAUGCAAGUCGAACGAGACCUUCGGGUCUAGUGGCGCACGGGUGCGUAACGCGUGGGAACCUGCCCUUAGGUUCGGAAUAACUCCCCGAAAGGGGUGCUAAUACCGGAUAAUGUCUUCGGACCAAAGAUUUAUCGCCUUUGGAUGGGCCCGCGUUGGAUUAGCUAGUUGGUAGGGUAAAAGCCUACCAAGGCGACGAUCCAUAGCUGGUCUGAGAGGAUGAUCAGCCACACUGGGACUGAGACACGGCCCAGACUCCUACGGGAGGCGGCAGUGGGGAAUAUUGGACAAUGGGCGGAAGCCUGAUCCAGCCAUGCCGCGUGAGUGAUGAAGGCCUUAGGGUUGUAAAGCUCUUUUACCCGGGAUGAUAAUGACAGUACCGGGAGAAUAAGCUCCGGCUAACUCCGUG